Molecule: long non-coding RNA, 289 nt
Filed under: Bos taurus (domestic cattle)
Lineage: Eukaryota; Metazoa; Chordata; Mammalia; Artiodactyla; Bovidae
Description: long non-coding RNA NONBTAT026844
Source: RNAcentral
CGUGGUUAGGUUUGGAAGGCAGAGUGAGGGAGAGGUGUCUUCCUGCUCUACAGGCUGCUGAUAAGGUUAAGGAGACAUGUUGGACAGUUGGACUGAUUGCAGCCUUUCAACAGUGGGUCUUUAGCUUUGUGAGUAAUGGGAUGCAGUAGUGAUUGUGGUAAUGCCUGGAUGACAACCUCAAUAGACUGUUCUCAAAUCCAGUGGUUCUGGUGUCAUCCUUGACACAUUCCUCCAGCCCUCCCAAAGAUUCCUUGUAUCAAAUCCAUUUGUGAUCAGAAUGCUUAGUGGU